UACGUAGGGUGCGAGCGUUAUUCGGAUUCACUGGGCGUAAAGGGUGCGCAGGCGGCCGUGUGUGUGAGGCGUGAAAGCCCGGGGCUUAACCCCGGAAUUGCACCUCAAACUACACGGCUAGAGCAUUGGAGAGGGUAGCGGAAUUCACGGUGUAGCAGUGAAAUGCGUAGAUAUCGUGAGGAACACCAGAGGCGAAGGCGGCUACCUGGACAAUUGCUGACGCUCAGGCACGAAAGCGUGGGGAGCAAAAGGG
RNAcentral lists this ribosomal RNA (253 nucleotides) under uncultured bacterium. RNAcentral describes it as "partial 16S ribosomal RNA". It matches the Rfam family "Bacterial small subunit ribosomal RNA", at positions 524 to 776 of the family's 1533-position model. RNAcentral also lists the same sequence under 1 other name. The record is from RNAcentral.